This 1985-nucleotide unclassified non-coding RNA is filed under the name Hevea brasiliensis (rubber tree). Lineage: Eukaryota; Viridiplantae; Streptophyta; Magnoliopsida; Malpighiales; Euphorbiaceae. The record is from RNAcentral.
CUACUCCCCUAGCUUCAACUAUGCUCGUUGACCUAUUAAUUGGAAUCUUAAGACAUCUAUUUUACCAACACUACCAAAUGUUUGACAAUAAAUUAUAAUUGUAAAAAAACAGUUCUAGCAAGAUAUAAUAAAUGUUUCAGCUGUUUGAAACGUUUACAAUAGCGCCUUAUGACUUUUGCUUCCAGGAUCAAAAUAAAAGCUGCAUCCUAAAACAAAUUGCAGCUCUCAGGUAAACAACACACUUACCAGCCACGGACCCAACAACUCUGCCAAUGGCUAUGAAAUCUCAACACCGCGUUGUCAUUCCAACUCAAAGCAAAAAAUGAACGCCUUUUUACUAAGCAGAUACAACCCGAACCCAAAGAGAAUAAAUCCCAUGAUCUUUCACCAUGUGCAUGUCAUCAGAAUCGAUUUCAGGAAAGAGGUUAAUGUAAAAGCGAAAGCCAUCAGGGCUUAUAUCCCUACAUAGUAUACCUCUGCUCUCAGCAGUUAGAAGAUGCUCCUUAGCCAUAGCCGGAGCAAUACCCAAAGUCAUUGCAGCAUCACUAGCAGUUAUUCCAGCUUGGAGGGCAUCAGGCUUUGUGACAAGGGUUUUGAUCCGGGUAAAAACCUCCUCGUCACUAUGGGACUUGUUCUGGAUGACCAUGACUCCACUAUCAAACUUUCGAAGCAUGACUGGUCUGUCAAACAAAGCACAAUCUUAUAAAAGACUAGAAACAUUUAAGGAAAAAAAAGUCUUGUUUCAAAAUUAAUUAGUCUCAAUAUUUUGAAUCUCAAAUGAACAACCAUAAUCAUGAAGACAUCAUGCUUACGCAUCAAAUUUCUCCCAUAGAGUACAUGCUUGCAACAAAUCCUCAGGUGAGAUCAAUUCUGUGAAAAUAUACAAGAUGAAAACCCAGUCUAUUCAUCUAAUAAGUGCCGCUACAAAAUUAAAAACUCAUGAAAUGAAAAUAUGCGCAACAAAACAAAGAAAUACUAUGGUAUCCAAAAAACCUGUGCCCCGAGCACGAUUAAAGAGACAAUAGAUAUCUAUAAGAUUGAUCAUCCCUCCAGCUCUUUCUAGUGGAGUUCUUACAAAAUCUGCCAACUGUCGAGACAACUGUUGAUGAUACAAGGCACCCGCAGAUUCUUUUGUUACAGGAGAUAUGAUACCAACGCUUAACAACCAAUCUUGCAUCUCCUCUUUAGAACCCAUUUCCUCAUUGUUACCUGCAUUAGUUUCCGAGUUUGAGCCAGACAAGAGCUUUUGCCUCAUUUUCUCUGCUAGCAUCACCAUCUCUUUAGCCUUGCUCAUUAGUGCAUUCAAGUCUUGGAAAGCCUCCUGUAAGCUCUUGUCCGUACUCUCCCACAUCUCCUGUUCCUUCCUUAGUAUCCCUGCCAAUCCCACCAUUCUCACUGACCCAUCAUUUAAAUAAAACCCACCUGAAUUAGAACUUGUACCAGAAAUCGAAGUUGUAACAGAACCAUCAGCAGUGGAACCCCCAGCACUAGUCUCCCAAGCCCUUCCCCUCCAAUUCUCCCAGAACUUAGGCAAAAACCCAUCCCAAUCCCCCUUCCCUCUGGCCACCACUGUGACAACAAGGCUCUUGGAAUUCAAGGAGACUUGGAAGCGAAUCCGAGGGGAGUGAAAGAUGGAUUUGAUGGAUUUUUUGGAAGAGAAUAUAUGGGUGAUGAGGGACAAAGGGAUAGCAAUGGCAUUGGAAUGGGCAGAGGAAUUGGAAGGGAUCCAGAUGAGGCGGUGGGUGGUGAGGAUGAGGAGACCUGAUUUGAGGGAAGGGAAGCUGGGGCCAUCAUCAGAUUCAAGGUCCACGGCUGAAAGAAGUUGGCAUUCAAUCUCGUUGGGAAGGAACACUGGGCGGCCGCUGCUGGUGACAGAUGCUGACGGGAAGAAAUUGUUGCUGCUAGCCAUUGAGCCUUCUGUUCUUUGCACCACCCUCUUCUUUCUACUGCUUCAUUUGUUACGAAGAUAGAAAGCUGGGUCAUAA